RNAcentral lists this ribosomal RNA (459 nucleotides) under Norrisia norrisii. RNAcentral describes it as "partial 12S ribosomal RNA". The record is from RNAcentral. Lineage: Eukaryota; Metazoa; Mollusca; Gastropoda; Trochida; Tegulidae.
UUGAGAUGUAAAAUUUGAUUAUAGAUAAUUUACUUGAGUAUUACGAGCUGUGGAAAUCUGUUUUCCACAAAAAUCUUAAAACUCAAAAGACUUGGCGGUAUCUUAGGUCCUUCUAGGGGAACCUGUCCUGUAAUCGAUAGUCCACGAUUUAUCUUUCCUUUCCUUGAAAAUAGUCAGCUUGUAUACCGUCGUCGUCAGAUUACCUUUAAGAGUUAAAUAAGUUAUCAGAAAGAAGGGUGUUUCACGGUGUCAUAUUUUGAUCUCAGUGGAUCGAAAGUUGGCCUUAGAACAAUUUUCUAGAUGUCAGAUCAAGGUGCAGCCCAUGGGAAGGUAGAGAUGGGUUACAAUAAUUAUUUAUUAUUUACGGAUUUCUUAUUGGAAUUAUAAGAACUAAAGGCGGACUUAGAAGUAAUUAAUAAGAAAAAUAGAAAGUUUCGGUGAAAAUGGCACUAAGAUGUG